Molecule: long non-coding RNA, 808 nt
Organism: Cryptotermes secundus
Lineage: Eukaryota; Metazoa; Arthropoda; Insecta; Blattodea; Kalotermitidae
Exons: 3
Source: RefSeq, a predicted model, not a curated record
CCCUGGCAUAGUCUAUUUGACGUACGUGCAUAAGUGGCGUGAUGAUGGAUUAGCGUUUUGUGUAAGUAGUCUGAAUCGAUCUGAAUAGUGUUUGGAAAAAUACUACAAGGCCUGGGAAGAGAAUUGCAAAAUACGUGGAAUUUCUCUGAGUUUUAUAUUAGUUUUUUAGAAGAAAACAUCAUUAAACGACCUGGGAAAUUAUUCAAAGUUAGAAUUUUGAUACAUUUAUCAGAACUCAAAAUCCAUAUCAGUAGGAUUUCUGUAACCUACUUCUUUCACAGCCCAGGGAGAAUCAUGUGUGAGGAACGAGUUCAAAGGUUGCAAAGAAUUCUACAUUCUCUUGCAACAAGAGUGCCAAGAGUUUUGCUACAGAGAAUUGAAGAAAUAUUUCCUUCACUGAGAGAAACCAUGAACCUUGCAUAUUCAGAGGAAGUACAAAGUCUGUAGUGAGAUACAUUCAGCAUCUUCUCAUGAUGCAUGUCAGGCCAACAGUGUAAAAGCUGAGGAAGUGUCAGACGCAGAAAAAAGAGGAGUAUCCUGUGCCAAUAACAUUUCAAAGAAUAAAGGCUGAACGUGAGGUGAGCUGUGGCUGUGAUGGCAUGUGGAUCUGUUGCAAGGCUACAACUGCAAAAUAAGGAACUAUACAGCAGCCAUUGCUAAGUAACAGCUCUGCAAACAAGCAUGUUUCCUCAGGAGGAGUUGCAAUGCAACAGAGAAACAGUGUUUAAUUCUUGUUAAAUUUAAAUUUGCAUAGUGUAGGGUGGAGUCCAACUGGGUCCACUUGGCACAGCGGCCACUGAUUGGCCUA